AACGAACGCUGGCGGCGUGGAUUAGGCAUGCAAGUCGAACGAUCUUUUCCCGGGUAGCAAUAUUUGGGAAAAGAGAGUGGCGGACGGGUGAGUAACGCGUGGGCAAGCUGCCCUGAAGUUCGGAAUAGCUCCGGGAAACCGGGGGUAAUACCGAAUGUGACCGUCUCCUGCAUGGGAGACUACUUAAAGGUGGGGAUCCGCAAGGACCUGUCGCUUCAGGAUGUGCCCGCGUCCCAUCAGCUAGUUGGUGAGGUAAUGGCCCACCAAGGCUAAGACGGGUAGCUGGUCUGAGAGGAUGGUCAGCCACACUGGGACUGAGACACUGCCCAGACUCCUACGGGUGGCAG
Molecule: ribosomal RNA, 347 nt
Filed under: uncultured Lentisphaerota bacterium
Lineage: Bacteria; Pseudomonadati; Lentisphaerota
Description: bacterial SSU rRNA
Rfam family: Bacterial small subunit ribosomal RNA
Source: RNAcentral